AGUCGCCAGAUGGCGCUUGUGCUUCUCACAUUGUGAACUGUACUGUGGCUCUCCUGCAUCCCACUGAAACCACUCCUCUGCUUUGCUGCAGUUUUUCCUUAGACGCCCCCUGCAGAUUAGCCAUCAGCACUUUUGCGUAGCUGGCCCCUGGUCUGUGAUUUCCCUUGUUGAAUACCCACCAGCCCCUGCCUCACUGGGAACUCAGGCCCUGGGUUUCCCUACUGCCACAUGCCAUAUCUAGGGCUCCCAGAGGGACUUGGAAAGACUAUUUUGUUUUCUUGCCCCCACAGGAGAGGCAAGAGAAAGCACUAGGCAUCCCGACGUAUUUGGGCCAGAGCGCAGCAGAGGCUCAAACGCAACCUCCUUGGUACCAGCUCCCCCCAAGGCAAGGGGGCUGCCCUCCAGGCCCAAGCCCAGACGAGAAGAUCAAGAGCCGGUUGGACCCCUUGAGGGACAUGCAGAAGCACCUGGGAAAGAAAAGGCACAGCAGUGAAAGCCGUCCUUCCAGAGAGGAGCGGCCUCAGAAACAGCGGCCCAAAGAGCCACCUUCCCUAGAACAGC
RNAcentral lists this long non-coding RNA (561 nucleotides) under Cricetulus griseus (Chinese hamster). RNAcentral's name for it is "lncRNA (ENSCGRG00000026133.1)". Lineage: Eukaryota; Metazoa; Chordata; Mammalia; Rodentia; Cricetidae. The record is from RNAcentral.